Molecule: ribosomal RNA, 751 nt
Filed under: Microbispora hainanensis
Lineage: Bacteria; Bacillati; Actinomycetota; Actinomycetes; Streptosporangiales; Streptosporangiaceae
Description: bacterial SSU rRNA
Rfam family: Bacterial small subunit ribosomal RNA
Source: RNAcentral
GAUAAGCCUGGGAAACCGGGUCUAAUACCGGAUACGACACUCCUCCGCAUGGUGUGGGUGUGGAAAGUUUUUUCGGUUGGGGAUGGGCUCGCGGCCUAUCAGCUUGUUGGUGGGGUGAUGGCCUACCAAGGCGACGACGGGUAGCCGGCCUGAGAGGGCGACCGGCCACACUGGGACUGAGACACGGCCCAGACUCCUACGGGAGGCAGCAGUGGGGAAUAUUGCGCAAUGGGCGGAAGCCUGACGCAGCGACGCCGCGUGGGGGAUGACGGCCUUCGGGUUGUAAACCUCUUUCAGCAGGGACGAAGUUGACGUGUACCUGUAGAAGAAGCGCCGGCUAACUACGUGCCAGCAGCCGCGGUAAUACGUAGGGCGCGAGCGUUGUCCGGAAUUAUUGGGCGUAAAGAGCUCGUAGGUGGCUUGUUGCGUCUGCCGUGAAAGCCCGUGGCUUAACUACGGGUCUGCGGUGGAUACGGGCAGGCUAGAGGCUGGUAGGGGCAAGCGGAAUUCCUGGUGUAGCGGUGAAAUGCGCAGAUAUCAGGAGGAACACCGGUGGCGAAGGCGGCUUGCUGGGCCAGUUCUGACACUGAGGAGCGAAAGCGUGGGGAGCGAACAGGAUUAGAUACCCUGGUAGUCCACGCUGUAAACGUUGGGCGCUAGGUGUGGGGGUCUUCCACGAUUCCUGUGCCGUAGCUAACGCAUUAAGCGCCCCGCCUGGGGAGUACGGCCGCAAGGCUAAAACUCAAAGGAA